This 141-nucleotide ribosomal RNA is filed under the name uncultured eukaryote. Its description in RNAcentral is "partial 18S ribosomal RNA". It matches the Rfam family "Eukaryotic small subunit ribosomal RNA", at positions 1299 to 1458 of the family's 1831-position model. The record is from RNAcentral.
UGGUGGAGCGAUUUGUCUGGUUAAUUCCGAUAACGAACGAGACUCUAGCCUAUUAACUAGUUCGACGAUUCCGAUCUGUCGUCGUCGCCAACUUCUUAGAGGGACUAGUGGCGUUUAGCCACACGAAAUUGAGCAAUAACA